RNAcentral lists this ribosomal RNA (430 nucleotides) under uncultured bacterium. RNAcentral's name for it is "partial 16S ribosomal RNA". It matches the Rfam family "Bacterial small subunit ribosomal RNA", at positions 354 to 796 of the family's 1533-position model. The record is from RNAcentral.
GUGGGGAAUAUUGCACAAUGGGCGCAAGCCUGAUGCAGCAACGCCGCGUGAGGGAUGACGGCCUUCGGGUUGUAAACCUCUUUUAGUAGGGAAGAAGCGUAAGUGACGGUACCUGCAGAAAAAGCACCGGCUAACUACGUGCCAGCAGCCGCGGUAAUACGUAGGGUGCAAGCGUUGUCCGGAAUUAUUGGGCGUAAAGAGCUCGUAGGCGGUUUGUCGCGUCUGCUGUGAAAACCCGAGGCUCAACCUCGGGCCUGCAGUGGGUACGGGCAGACUAGAGUGCGGUAGGGGAGAUUGGAAUUCCUGGUGUAGCGGUGGAAUACGCAAAUAUCAGGAGGAACACCGAUGGCGAAGGCAGAUCUCUGGGCCGUAACUGACGCUGAGGAGCGAAAGCGUGGGGAGCGAACAGGAUUAGAUACCCGUGUAGUCC